GCCAGUGUGGCAUAGUGGUUUGAGCGUUGGACUACAACUUUGGAGACCAGGGUUCCAUUCCUGGCUCAGCCA
RNAcentral lists this transfer RNA (72 nucleotides) under Phrynosoma platyrhinos (Desert horned lizard). RNAcentral describes it as "tRNA-OTHER". Lineage: Eukaryota; Metazoa; Chordata; Lepidosauria; Squamata; Phrynosomatidae. The record is from RNAcentral.